Molecule: ribosomal RNA, 449 nt
Filed under: uncultured bacterium
Lineage: Bacteria
Description: partial 16S ribosomal RNA
Rfam family: Bacterial small subunit ribosomal RNA
Source: RNAcentral
AGCGAACGCUGGCGGCAGGCUUAACACAUGCAAGUCGAACGCCCCCUUCGGGGGUAGUGGCGGACGGGUGCGUAACGCGGGGGAAUAUACCUUUUGGUUCGGAAUAAGUGAGGGAAACUUGUGCUAAUACCGGAUACGCGCGAGAGGGGAAAGAUUUAUCGCUAAAAGAUUAGCCCGCGUCUGAUUAGCUAGUUGGUGAGGUAAUGGCUUACCAAGGCGACGAUCAGUAGCUGGUCUAAGAGGAUGAUCAGCCACACUGGGACUGAGACACGGCCCAGACUCCUACGGGAGGCAGCAGUGGGGAAUAUUGGACAAUGGGCGCAAGCCUGAUCCAGCCAUGCCGCGUGAGUGAAGAAGGCCUUAGGGUUGUAAAGCUCUUUUGUGUGGGAAGAUAAUGACUGUACCACAAGAAUAAGCCCCGGCUAACUUCGUGCCAGCAGCCGCGGUAA